GCUGAACCGUUCUGCUCGGAAGUAAGAAGCUUUUCUCUUGUGAGGGCGGUGGUGACCUGAUUGUCUCUAAGCUCUCAGGCAAUUUAUAGCUUGCUCUUGGGAAUGUGUUGAAGACGUCCUCCUGGAUCUACUGGGCUGACACAACAUUAUACUUUGCCGCAAAAAAUGCUCUUGAAGACAGUAGAGCCAUCAUUUUUAUUUCUCUUCCAUUCAUCUUUCUCAAGAUCAUUUGUCCUGGGAUUACUGCUAGUGAUUUUGUAACCAAUUGGUAAAGAAAAAACAUGAAGGCUCCUUGUAUCAGAAUUAGAUUAGAAAUUAGCUGUGUUGAUUUUUAUACUGAACAUCCAUGGAAUUUAAUAAAGAGACUCUAGAAAUGGGAGAAGAAAAAAAAUGAAUACUGAUGGGAGUCAAGUCUCUGGAGCAGAGAGUUAGAGCCCCAUAAUUGAACGAUGAAACUUCACAAUUUCCAAAGAAAGGAAAACAAAGAGCUAGUAGUUUUCUAUGUGGCUUUACAAAAGCCUUUUCUUAAAGAUGUGGCUAAGAAAGUAUUGGAAAUGAAAAGGAGGACAGUUACUCAAAAAGUAAUAUACUGUGUCAGGCUGUUGAGGUUAGCAAGGAAAAUAUCAUUUAGGUGAAUCUAUCUCAGGGGCAAAAUAAAAGUAGUUUGAGCUAAUGUUAGCUAAAGGUCUUAGAAAGGAAACAAAUGAUAUAUGUUUCAAAUACUCUAUGAUAAAAGGAAUAUACCGUGGUGAAAACUAGUUUGCUAAUAAAGCAAGGGCAACAUUAAAGUUUACAUUAAUUCCCU
RNAcentral lists this long non-coding RNA (805 nucleotides) under Homo sapiens (human). Its description in RNAcentral is "HSALNT0191948". The record is from RNAcentral. Lineage: Eukaryota; Metazoa; Chordata; Mammalia; Primates; Hominidae.